Rosa chinensis is the source of this 2424-nucleotide RNA transcript. It is a transcript of the gene named putative F-box protein At3g16210, with no coding region annotated. The transcript has 2 exons. The record is from RefSeq and is a predicted model, not a curated record. Lineage: Eukaryota; Viridiplantae; Streptophyta; Magnoliopsida; Rosales; Rosaceae.
ACACGUGUACCAAGAUGAGAGAGAGUUUAGAGGGCUGGUUACUUUAGAGAGAGGGAUUUCUAGGGUUUUAGGUCCUCCGAUUCCAAUUCCAAUUGCACCCCAAAAUGACGAAGAGAACCAAUCUCAGACCCCAAUUGAAACCAAUUUCGAAGCCAGCGCUCAAAUUCCUAUGGAUGAUCAGAAAAAAGAGACACCUCUCACUCUCUUCCCGGCGUUCUUCAACCGCUACCGACAUGCCGGACGGCUGUGCCGCGGUUCUCACUGACCACGAAGACGUCCUCGUCGAAAUACUCGCAAGACUCCCCGUCAAAACCCUAAUCCGAUUCAGGUGCGUCUGCACGGCGUGGCGUUCCCUAAUCUCCGACCCUCAUUUCCUCAAGAAGCAGAGGAAAUACGACGCCGAAAGAGGCGUCAACGACAGCGAUCUCCGGCUACUGUUCUCCAUGAAGCCUCCCAGCUCCAUGGGCUUGGUGGAUUUGAAGGGUUUGAAGGAUGCUGAGCUGGCCAAAAGAUUCAGAGAGGACCGUGUUGCAACCAGGGAGCUUGAUUUUCCGGUGAGUCUUGAUCAUGGUUAUGAAAUAGUGAAUGUGGGAACUUGCAAUGGGAUUAUAUGCAUUCAAUUUAAUCGCGGCGAGUAUGCUUUAUGGAACCCUUGUACUGGAGAGUACAAUGUGUUGCCGAAACCUAGUGUUUUUUGUUAUCCAAGGUAUUAUGGAUUUGGUUAUGAUGAAAUCAAUGAUGAUUACAAGGUAGUGAAGGGGUCACAUUGUGAAACUGAUGGGAAUGGUCCGCUGAAACCGCUGAUUCAGGUGUUUUCGCUGAGAAAAGGUACAUGGAAGACCUAUCCCGGCCCGAAGAAUGUUUGCAUGAGAGGGCAGGGGGCGUUUGUAAAUGGAAAGCUGCAUUGGCUGUGGUUUGAGGAGUGGUGGAAGUCGGAAAGCAAGGAAAUUAGACCUUUUAGUUUAGCUGAGGAGAAAUUUCAGGAGGUGAUGCCGAUUCCUUGGAAUAACAUUGGUGGAAUUUUGAUUUCCGGGAAUCGUCUCUGUGUACAUAGUGAAACAGGGGCUGUGAGGAUAGUGAUGAUGAAGGAAUACGGGGUCAAGGAAUCUUGGACUGAAGUGCUGUAUCUGACUAUUUUUACUGUACCUCAGAUAUAUGAUGAAAUCUGCAAGGUGAAGCCUCUGUGGAUUCUAGAGAAUGGCGAUGUUUUGGCGUACACAGUACAACAAGGAGGCUACUUGUCAUUAUAUAAACCAAAGGAUAAGGCAUUUAGGAAUGUUAUUAAGCCCGAAGGGAGUUACAGGUUUGAAUCCGUCAUUUACAGAGAAACUUUUGUUUCACCGGUAACUGGCAAUCUUGGAGAAAUCUGACAACAGCAUUGUGAGUUUUUUACUUCCUUAUAUGAUCAACUUGUAUGCAUUUUGUGUUUAGAGCUAAUGGUAGAUUGUGUACCUGGACAUUGUAAGCUUCUACUGCUAUAAUGAUAUUCAGCUUUGGCUUUUCUCUUUUGUUAUUGUGCGUGAGGUAAUUAAUUACUGUCAGUUGCGCCCUUUGUAUCCUGGUUCAAAAGCUGCUGGUACUGGCUACAAAGGAAGAACAAAUAUUAGAAUAUUAGGACUGUGGCGAUUCAAUGUCACUAUAGCAGUAUGACUGUCCCUUACUGGAUCUAACUUCUGCUAUAAAGUGAUUACUACCCUUACUCAUGCAUUGUCAAAACAUGCUUUUGCCUCGCCAUUAUGUGAAGUUGUGAACUAACAAUUUCUUUCAAAUUCCAUCUUGGUGUAAGCUUCUUCAUUAUCUUCUUUGACACUUAUAUAAACAAUAGUAGCCAUUAGCCACUAGAAGGACUGGAUGAAUUUUCUCUGUCGGUGAAGAUUGUUCUUGAAUGGAGGGAUUUCGACUUUAGAAGUUCGCUACUGCGUUUUCUGAAGCAAUAUUACUUUUCUGUAUGCUUUUUCCACAUGGUUGAGAUUACUAGUACUAGUACUUCAAAACGUGCGUUCACCACAUGGUUCUUUGAUCGUUCAGGUCCAAUCACUUUUAGUUUGUUUAUGUGAGAAACAGCUUAUUGCCUUUUGUUUGGAAUCCUUGUAUUAGACACGCUCCAUCUGCCUGUAAUGCUUCCAUUGCAGCAGUUUGUCCUGUAACAAACACAAGUUGCGUAUUCUUUCCUCCAUUUUGUUUCGAUGAAGACAUCAUACUUUGGUAAUACAGAAAGAUGAAGAACCCAAGGAACCUAGUAGAUAUGCGGAGUCAGGAAGAUGAAGCGGAGAGAAGUAUGCGCCUAAUUCGGUUGGAAUACAUGGUCAUGCAGUUCUCUAUUUUACUAUUUUGGUUUUGUGGUGAAGACUUAUGUAUCCCAUCCCAGUGUUUAUGAAUAUUGCGACUACAUUUCUCUCAUCUCUAUUAACCCUUUAAAAGUUA